Long non-coding RNA from Lontra canadensis (Northern American river otter), 123 nucleotides. RefSeq lists it as uncharacterized. Lineage: Eukaryota; Metazoa; Chordata; Mammalia; Carnivora; Mustelidae. The transcript has 3 exons. The record is from RefSeq and is a predicted model, not a curated record.
CCUGGAGUCUGGACCUCAGGGGCUCCCACAGCUCUGGGGAGACCGUGGCCACCGGAGCAGGGAGAUGCCAGGGUGCCGCUCCCCACGCACAAAGCCUGGCCUCUCCAGAGCAUGUACCUGCCC